GUUCUUAUAGUUGAGUUACAACAGUGGUUUUUCGUAUCACAGGUCUUGGUUAAAAUCCUAGUGAGAACU
Molecule: transfer RNA, 69 nt
Filed under: Pelobates fuscus (common spadefoot toad)
Lineage: Eukaryota; Metazoa; Chordata; Amphibia; Anura; Pelobatidae
Description: tRNA-Glu
Rfam family: tRNA
About the family: Transfer RNA (tRNA) molecules are approximately 80 nucleotides in length. Their secondary structure includes four short double-helical elements and three loops (D, anti-codon, and T loops). Further hydrogen bonds mediate the characteristic L-shaped molecular structure. tRNAs have two regions of fundamental functional importance: the anti-codon, which is responsible for specific mRNA codon recognition, and the 3' end, to which the tRNAs corresponding amino acid is attached (by aminoacyl-tRNA synthetases). tRNAs cope with the degeneracy of the genetic code in two manners: having more than one tRNA (with a specific anti-codon) for a particular amino acid; and 'wobble' base-pairing, i.e. permitting non-standard base-pairing at the 3rd anti-codon position.
Source: RNAcentral